Molecule: unclassified non-coding RNA, 394 nt
Filed under: fungal sp.
Lineage: Eukaryota; Fungi
Description: partial internal transcribed spacer region
Rfam family: Eukaryotic small subunit ribosomal RNA (bases 1-46)
Source: RNAcentral
AAGUCGUAACAAGGUCUCCGUAGGUGAACCUGCGGAGGGAUCAUCAUAGGAAAGAUAUCUUGAAUGAGUUUUCUCACUCACUCACCAAGUUGCGGGGAGUGUGUGUGUGUGUGGGGGGGAGUCCAAGUUUUUGGGGGUUUGCAUACUCUGCAAUACUUUCUGGGAGUCUUGGCUUUUUUCCUCACACGCGCUUCCUGCAGCUUCAUCCAAACGAUCACAACAAUAAUUAUCAGAGAAAUUUGACUUGGUGUGAAUGUGAAUGUGAAUGCGGUGCCGUUUUAUAUAAAAAGUGUUUGCCUGACAGAUGAUAAUUCUCUCAAUGCCAUUGAUUUGUGGUGGUUGGGUUGGAAAAUAAUCAAUAUACAACUUUCAACAACGGAUCUCUUGGCUCUCA